CCCUUCAAGGAUUAAUCAUCAGCACUACUCACCUUUUAUUGUGCCAAAAUUGUAGAAAGAAAAAUCUGCUAAUAUUCUUCCCCUUUUAAAUCCUCUCUACCUGUUUUAUGAUAUUACAUGUUUGUUAUAUCUUUCCUAGAUCCAAAUCCAAACACUCAGAUGUCUCGAAAAGCAGCCGCAGAUCAGACCGAAGAACAUCAAGAGACCGAUCGUCUCGUAGCCGGCGCUCUAGAUCAUCAUCUUACACCAAACGGUCUCGUCGUUCAAGAUCUUCCUCUUCAAGUCGUAGAUCCAGAUCUCGAUCCGUCUCAAAGUAUCGCCGCUCUUACUCUAGAAGUCUUUCGAAAUCUCCCAAACGCUAUCGAUCCAGGUCCAGGAGUAAUAGUCGAUCCAAAAGGUACCGGAAAAAGUCUUACUCAAGAUCCAGAUCCAAAUCGCCGAGAAGGAAAGACAAGAAACAAAAGAAAAAAUCAAAGAAGAAAUCACGGUCCCCGUCUCGAUCAUCAUCUACAUCUUCUAAAUCAUCGAAGUCACCCAGAGAUAAACGUCUUAGUCCAGAGAGCCUUGUUGAAAGGUUGAAGCGAGUGAUUUCAGAUGCAGAUGAUUCGCUCAAGAAGAAGUCUUUUGCCUCCAUAGAUAAUUUAUACAGUGAUUCAGCGCCAAAAAGCGAUGUAUUAAAUGAAAUUAACUCCUCCGGCUUCAAGCCUACUGCUUUUCAACCAAGUGCCUUAAAAGAAAAAUCAGCCCCUAUAAUGGUUGAUUUGACAGAAAAAACCUAUGCUGGAAAUCCUCCUCCUAAAGAUGAUGAAAUGGCAGAUAGUAUAUUUCAUCCAAACUUAUUGCUAGAGAACAAAUCAGACAAGCUUAACAGAUGGGUGAAGAAGCUGUUUGCAUAUCGACAAAAGGCUCUUUUCAAUGGAGAUCUACAAACAUAA
RNAcentral lists this long non-coding RNA (935 nucleotides) under Bemisia tabaci. RNAcentral describes it as "lncRNA ENSSSA3NGG001661". The record is from RNAcentral. Lineage: Eukaryota; Metazoa; Arthropoda; Insecta; Hemiptera; Aleyrodidae.